This 205-nucleotide long non-coding RNA is filed under the name Vitis vinifera (wine grape). RNAcentral describes it as "long non-coding RNA (VVIN_LNC000210)". The record is from RNAcentral. Lineage: Eukaryota; Viridiplantae; Streptophyta; Magnoliopsida; Vitales; Vitaceae.
AUUUUUGGAAUAUUUCAAAAAAAUUGAAGUGUUUUUUUAAAAAAAACACCUGUCAAGUGAUUCUCUAAAAAUCACUUCAAGUGUUUUUCCAGAUUUUCAAAAGUGUUUUUUAAAAUUUGCCAAACACUUUAUUUUCAUCCCAAAAACACUUAAAAGUGUUUUUAAGGGUAGAAACACUUUUAAAAAUCACUGCCAAACGGGCUCU